GAAAUGUGAAAGGGGCCAAAUCCGGCCGGAAAUCCGGCCAGUUUCUGGCCGGAUAGCUGGCCGGUUUGAAAAAAAUUGGAUCAGCCUUUGCCUCGAAUCCGGCCGGAAAUCCGGCCGGAUUGUGACGUCAUCCCCGACAGUCAACUUUGACUGGCUGCCUUUUUCUUCCUUCUUAUCUCAUUUUGGCCAAAAUAUCUCACUUUCUUCCUUGGUUCAUCCGUGAGCUUUGAGAGAAAAACAAGAAAAACUCUUCAUUCUUCCAUCUUCAAUUUCUACUCAAAUCUUGGGUUUUAACCGAUGGUUUUGGAAAAUAUUUCAUACAAGGGCUCAUUAUGGUGGUUUAAAGCUUUUGAUGGAUUGGUUUUGGAAGGGGAGUGCUAAGUUGAUAGCUUUCUUGAACUUGAGGUGAGUUGGAUAAACAAGUUCCCUUUUGUUCUAUAUUUGGUUAAUUAAUGGUUUGUGGUGGUCAUGUAUGUUAUUUUGUGGAGUAUUUCAUGGGUUGAAGGAAGUUAUGGUGAAUUUCUGAUUUAUUGGGCAUUUUUCCGAUUUUAUAUGAUAAGCAUGAAUUGGUCUUGAAUUGAUGGAUUGUUAUGGUGUUAAAUGGACCCUUUAUACGUUAAUUGUGGUUGUUUGCGGAAAAUUUCCGCUUAUGGUAUGAAUUCCGGUUUUAGGGUUUCAAUUUGGGAAUUUUUCCAAGAUUGGCUUAUAAGCUUCUAAUUGGUUUUAAUUGAGGGAUUUUGUGGCCCUAAUUGGAUAUGUUUAUUGAUUACGAACUAUAUGUGCAAUUGUGGUUGAUGGUUAUGAAUUUGGUGAAUAUUUGUAGGUUGGAAAAUAAAGAAAGUGAGGGGGAAAUGCUGUCCGAACUUUGAUAGUAUUUGGUUGCUUUGAACUGGAAUUGAAGGACUUGAGUUCGAUCCAUGAAAUUGUCUAUAGUGGAAGAGGACUAUGAGCCGUGAAGUGAGUAAUCUCCAAACUGUUCCAAAGUUACUUUUGAACGUUUUCUUGCAUUAUUUAUUCAAUUGCAUAUCAUGCGUGCUUGCAUGUGAGUUCAUGACAUGAUUUGGCUUGAAAUGAGUACUUGGGAAGUCCUGUGCUGAACACCAACGUCUCUACCACUGUUCAUGUUUAUUUGGAGCUCAAAAAGGGGCUCCCUCUCUCUGUUUACUGUUAACGUUAAAGGAUCUGUUUGAGCGUUGGGUGUUUAGGUGCAAUGAUUUCACUGGCUCACGAGAGCAAUAAACGUACAUUGGAUUUCUGAUUCAUAACAUCAUUGAAAUGAACGAUUAUGAAACUGAUUUGAUUACUGAUUUUAUUGGUUACUCGCUGAGAUUUUAGCUCACCCCAAAACUAUUUUAUUCCCCUCCACAGGGCUCGAGGCGAAGAAAGAGCUUGUAGUGCUUAUUCAUGUGAAUGGACGGAUUAUCUCAUGUAUGGUUUGAAUUUGAAUUUUUCUUUUGUGACUUAUAUUGUAAUUUAUUUGAGGACUGUAGUGAAUGACUGAGUCCCGACGAGACUUGGGCAGGCGGCCCACCGAACCCUCUGGUUCGCCUUAGGGGGAGGUGGGGCUGUCACACUAAACCCCCCUCAUCUUCGCUCUUCCAACCAUUAAGGGAGCCAGGGAUUGAACCAUGGGAAGUUGGGAACCAAUCUAAGGCCAUUCAUCCUAAUCAUAACAAAUCCUUGAACUUGAUCACAAAUCUGUAAACAAGCCAAUAUUUUACUCAAAUUUAUGGUGGGUUUGGUAAGUCAGUGAGGUAGAUAUAUAUAUAAGAAGUGCGGUAGAUAUAUUAGAUGGAUGAGUUGCCUUGAUUCUGACCCUUUAAAAAAAAGAAUGAUAAAGAGGAGGACGAAAGAAUCUACGGAAAAGAAAAUGUAAAGAAGGAUAUGGCAAUUUAAAAGGAAGCAGUAGCGUUUUUUAUUUCCUUUUUCCUUCCGGGGAUUAUAUAUGAGAAAAAAAAAA
This 1960-nucleotide long non-coding RNA is filed under the name Coffea arabica (coffee). RNAcentral describes it as "long non-coding RNA (CARA_LNC003543)". The record is from RNAcentral. Lineage: Eukaryota; Viridiplantae; Streptophyta; Magnoliopsida; Gentianales; Rubiaceae.